CAGGCUGCCUCGCUAAACGAUGCACACCUGUAACUCACGUGACCCUGGUUAUUAUUGAAACAAGAACGAGGGCGUCGUGCCUUUAUAAGACUGCGUUAAUAGUUCCGUAGAGUUAUCCCUUCCGUUGUUGUUUAUUGAUUGUUAAACAUGGCGUCAUUUGCAAAGGUGGUUGUGUGUGUCCUCAUUGCUUGUGACUGUAAUGCAUUCGGUUUUCCGAAGAGAGAUGUGAACUUAAAGGCCUCUGCAGUUGACCGCCAAAGUGAUGAUGUGGUUGUCACCACAACACCCGUUCCCCACAACCAGACCACCUCUGCCCCUACUGAAGCUGGUGGUGGUGCAAGUGAAGAUGCUGUGGCUACUACCCCAGCACCUAAUCCACACAACCAGACAACUUCUGCACAAACUGAAGUUACUGAUGGGGCCAGUGAAGAUGCUGUGGACCGCCAAAGUGAUGUGGUUGUCGCCACAACACCCAAUCCCCACAACCAGACCACAUCUGCCCCUACUGAAGCUGAUGGAGCAAAUGAAGAUGAUGCAGAUGAAGAUGAUGAUUCAGCAAGUGAAGAUGCUGUGGCUACCACCCCAACACCAAAUCCCCCAACUACAUCUGACCACACUGCAGCUACCGAUGAUGCAAGUGAGGGUGCUGUGGCUGCCCAAACUGGAGCUACUGUAUCCCAUACGACUGAAGUCUGAUUCGACUGCUCCUCUGGUCACAAUGACCUGUCUGGACUUUUUGCCUCUACAUGUUGACUGCAAUAAAGGACAGAUUUGUAUUUUUUAAUCAAAUGUUGUCUUGCCUUUUUCAAAUUGAGGCCUUGUCCUGUUUUGGUAGUGGAGAUGACUAUGAAGCCUCUUUCCUAACGUAUUUCCUGUAGUGGUUUUACUAUAUGCUUCAUGCAACAAGGCCUUCAACGACUCUACAAUUUAAAAGCAUCUAGUUUUGUCUGAAUUUGUAAAAUGGUUGAACUGGUAGUGAUGCAC
Clupea harengus (Atlantic herring) is the source of this 984-nucleotide long non-coding RNA. The record is from Ensembl. Lineage: Eukaryota; Metazoa; Chordata; Actinopteri; Clupeiformes; Clupeidae.